GGUCCCAUCGUCUAGUGGUUAGGACAUCAGGUUUUCAUCCUGAAAACAGGGGUUCGACUCCCCUUGGGAUCACCA
Molecule: transfer RNA, 75 nt
Filed under: Candidatus Saccharimonadota bacterium
Lineage: Bacteria; Candidatus Saccharimonadota
Also listed under: 1 other name
Description: tRNA-Glu
Rfam family: tRNA
About the family: Transfer RNA (tRNA) molecules are approximately 80 nucleotides in length.
Source: RNAcentral